Long non-coding RNA from Acanthopagrus latus (yellowfin seabream), 659 nucleotides. RefSeq lists it as uncharacterized. NCBI's taxonomy places the organism in Eukaryota, Metazoa, Chordata, Actinopteri, Spariformes, Sparidae. The record is from RefSeq and is a predicted model, not a curated record. The transcript is spliced from 4 exons.
CUAGCUAGCAUUAACAGCUAGCCACCGAAAAAUGACAACAAUCCUCCAGUAGCGGUGAAUCAACCAGACUCGACUAACAGAUAACAGCAUCAUCGCUCCGGCGAGGCCAACACAAUCGAUCAGGUCAGUGACUCACAGUGAGCAUCUCUCAGUGGAGUACUAGAGGCUCUGUCACUGAGAAGUGCUGUGUCAUUGGCUCGUGGUCUCACAUCAGUACGCUGAACACAUGAGAACAGGUGAGCUGGACUUUGAGGUGAACUCUGGAAGAAAACACUAAAGUGGAAGUAUGCUGUGACUACUAUUCUCUGCGCUGUGUCGUGGCGCUGAGCGGAUAGCUUCCUGCUUUGGCUGCUCAAAGAAGAACAGGACAGCAGCAGGAUGCCAGUACCCGUGUAAAGGGCUGAAUGUGUGGACAGUCUCUUGUGACGGAACAAAAACCUGUCCAAAACCAUCCUAAGUGGACCGAAGAGAUGUUCUCAUUUCCCCAUUGCUUUAUUUAUCCCUGAAGUUUAUUCCCCAGCAUCUGUAGUCGCUCUGUUCUUGUUUUAAUGAUGACCUGUCCGAAAACUCCUUGUCGGAGUUGGAUAAUGUCUGACGGCCGACAAGUGCAGCAGUGAUUAUACAGUCUACUGUCUGUGGGAAAUUAUUUGCAAUUUGGA